UGGUUCUGGCAUCGAUGAAGAACGCAGCGAAAUGCGAUAAGUAAUGUGAAUUGCAGAAUUCAGUGAAUCAUCGAAUCUUUGAACGCACAUUGCGCCCGCCAGUAUUCUGGCGGGCAUGCCUGUUCGAGCGUCAUUUCAACCCUCGAGCCCCCAAUUGCGGGGGCUUGGUGUUGGGGAUCGGCCCCCCGUCUCCGGGAGGCCGGCCCCGAAUUUCAGUGGCGGUCCCGCCGCAGCGUCUCUUGCGUAGUAGUAAACAACCUCGCACUGGAACGCGGCGCGGCCACGCCGUAAACUAAAUUAUUUUUUUUCUGAAUGUUGACCUCGGAUCAGGUAGGAAUACCCGCUGA
RNAcentral lists this unclassified non-coding RNA (347 nucleotides) under uncultured fungus. Its description in RNAcentral is "partial contains 5.8S ribosomal RNA and internal transcribed spacer 2". The stretch from base 1 to 133 matches the Rfam family "5.8S ribosomal RNA", at positions 22 to 154 of the family's 154-position model. Lineage: Eukaryota; Fungi. The record is from RNAcentral.